AACGAACGCUGGCGGCAUGCCUAACACAUGCAAGUCGAACGAGACCUUCGGGUCUAGUGGCGCACGGGUGCGUAACGCGUGGGAAUCUGCCCUUCGGUUGGGAAUAACUGAGAGAAAUUUCAGCUAAUACCUUAUAAUGUCUUCGGACCAAAGAUUUAUCGCCGAGGGAUGAGCCCGCGUAGGAUUAGGUAGUUGGUGGGGUAAUGGCCUACCAAGCCGACGAUCCUUAGCUGGUCUGAGAGGAUGAUCAGCCACACUGGGACUGAGACACGGCCCAGACUCCUACGGGAGGCAGCAGUGGGGAAUAUCGGACAAUGGGCGAAAGCCUGAUCCAGCAAUGCCGCGUGAGUGAUGAAGGCCUUAGGGUUGUAAAGCUCUUUUACCCGGGAUGAUAAUGACAGUACCGGGAGAAUAAGCUCCGGCUAACUCCGUGCCAGCCGCCGCCGUAA
This 449-nucleotide ribosomal RNA is filed under the name uncultured bacterium. Its description in RNAcentral is "partial 16S ribosomal RNA". It matches the Rfam family "Bacterial small subunit ribosomal RNA", at positions 29 to 523 of the family's 1533-position model. The record is from RNAcentral.